This 252-nucleotide ribosomal RNA is filed under the name uncultured bacterium. RNAcentral's name for it is "partial 16S ribosomal RNA". It matches the Rfam family "Bacterial small subunit ribosomal RNA", at positions 524 to 776 of the family's 1533-position model. The record is from RNAcentral.
UACAGAGGUCUCAAGCGUUGUUCGGAUUCAUUGGGCGUAAAGGGUGCGUAGGUGGCGCGGUAAGUCGGGUGUGAAAUCUCGGAGCUUAACUCCGAAAUUGCAUUCGAUACUGCCGUGCUCGAGGACUGGAGAGGAGACUGGAAUUCAUGGUGUAGCAGUGAAAUGCGUAGAGAUCAUGAGGAAGACCAGUGGCGAAGGCGGGUCUCUGGACAGUUCCUGACACUGAGCACGAAGGCCAGGGGAGCAAACGGG